GCCAAUCAGCAGCAGACCCUCCCUCCCAGACCCUCCCACCUCCUGGACAGCUCACUAAGAAUGCAGCUUCACAAUGAAUGUAAAAUGGAUGCUGUCCAGGAGGUGGGAGGGUCUGGGAGGGAGGGUCUGCUGCUGACUGUG
Pelobates cultripes (western spadefoot toad) is the source of this 141-nucleotide non-coding RNA. NCBI's taxonomy places the organism in Eukaryota, Metazoa, Chordata, Amphibia, Anura, Pelobatidae. The record is from the annotation of a GenBank genome assembly.